RNAcentral lists this ribosomal RNA (467 nucleotides) under uncultured bacterium. RNAcentral describes it as "partial 16S ribosomal RNA". It matches the Rfam family "Bacterial small subunit ribosomal RNA", at positions 28 to 507 of the family's 1533-position model. The record is from RNAcentral.
GAUGAACGCUGGCGGCGUGCUUAACACAUGCAAGUCGAACGGAAAGGCCCAAGCUUGCUUGGGUACUCGAGUGGCGAACGGGUGAGUAACACGUGGGUGAUCUGCCCUGCACUUUGGGAUAAGCUUGGGAAACUGGGUCUAAUACCGGAUAGGACCACUUCUUGGAUGUUGUGGUGGAAAGUUUUUUCGGUGUGGGAUGAGCUCGCGGCCUAUCAGCUUGUUGGUGGGGUAAUGGCCUACCAAGGCGUCGACGGGUAGCCGGCCUGGGAGGGUGUACGGCCACAAUGGGGCUGAGAUACGGCCCAGACUCCUACGGGAGGCAACAGUGGGGAAUAUUGCACAAUGGGCGCAAGCCGGAUGCAGCGACGCCGCGUGGGGGAUGACGGGCUUCGGGUUGUAAACUCCUUUCGCUAGGGACGAAGCGUUUUGUGACGGUACCUGGAGAAGAAGCACCGGCUAACUACGUG